Long non-coding RNA from Biomphalaria glabrata, 1180 nucleotides. RefSeq lists it as uncharacterized. The record is from RefSeq and is a predicted model, not a curated record. NCBI's taxonomy places the organism in Eukaryota, Metazoa, Mollusca, Gastropoda, Planorbidae. The transcript has 2 exons.
GGCUCUAGAGUAUUUAAACGUUUGGAAACGCGCACGGUUUGGAAACACCCAUCGUAUUUUUUUAAUCACGGCGCUUUUAUUGUAAAAGGAAAUAGAAAACUACUACAUUGGUAAUGCGCAUGCAUCAUUUCUGUUUCUUUCCUGCACGUCUGCUAUUCGUUGCUAUCCAGACGAUCGAGGUUACACGAGGUCAAAGACCACAGUCUAGAUACCCGUAUCCAAUACUUGAUCAUCUAUUAAUGUCUAUAUGGCUUCAGAAAAGAAAAGAAAAUAUAUUCACCACAAGCCUGAAAUUGUUAAAGCUGCCAUAAAGGCAAUGGAUAAAAAUGAAAUGUCUAUAAGAAAAGGCAACUAACAAAGUUGUGAAGGACAAGGACAAAGUAGAAAAAAAAUGCACAAGCAAGUAAUAGAAAGGAAGAAACUAGAAGCUAAGAAAAUGAACAAACCGAGUACUUCAAAAGACAUAGAUGAAGACAGCGAUGACAAUCCAUUAUUAAGAAGGGAAAGAUGGAAAAAGAGCUGGCUGCAGGUGUUGAUGGUGCUGACCAAGUAAUAAAUCAAACCACAAAAGAUACUUGCUCAGGUUGUGGCUAAAAAAGGUGGAAAUAUUUAGAUCCUGUGUGAAAUAUGUGAUCAGUGGCUUCAUGUGGAAUGCACUCAACAUGUCAAAUAAUUUGACAACUGAAGAACUUGAAGAUCUUUCUUUUGUGUGCCAAUUAUGUUGCCCAGAUCAAUGAUCUUGACUUUGGGUGGUUUCUAUGCCUUUAUGCAAAUUUUAAUUGUAUAAAAUGAGUUAACAUCUGCUGUAUGUCUGUAUUAGUGUAUGUAGUAUGUGUAUAAAAUGUAUAUAUAUGUAAAUAUCUAAAUGUAAAUAUGUUUAAAACUAACAUUUCCUUUGCAGCUAAAUAAAUACUUAAAGGCUAAAUAUGUAUAUAAAUAUGUAGACGUUUUUUUUUUUGUAAAAUUGUAAAGAUCAAUUGUAAAUAUUGGCUGUAUAUUUGUAUAUAUAUAUAAAUGUAAAUAAAUAUAAUAUAUAUGUUUAAAAAAAAAACAUUGUGUUGUUAUUGUUUUAUUUCUUUGAAAUCAAAUUAAUAAAAAUACCAAAAUAUUUAUAACAGAAUCUAAAUAUUAAACAUCUCCUGCAAAAAAAAAAAAAAAAAAAAAGAGAACGAAAAAAGAA